Molecule: long non-coding RNA, 2250 nt
Filed under: Marmota monax (woodchuck)
Lineage: Eukaryota; Metazoa; Chordata; Mammalia; Rodentia; Sciuridae
Source: RNAcentral
GGGACAAGGGCCCAGUUGCGGCCCCGCGCGGGACCUGUCAGUCCCGGGGUGAAGCGGACUCUCCGGCUUGGCCGGAAAAUCGAGGCCCGGGAGAAGGCAGCGUGGUCGGGAAGCUGCCGCCUUAGACCCGGACCUGUGCAGGAUUGCUUCCUGCGUAGCCGUCCCGGUUAUUGUAACGCGCGUUGCAAUCUUAACGACUGGGUUAGGGGGUUUUGUUUAUUUUUUGUGAGGGUUUGCAUAGAUGCCAAGGUCUGGGCGGGCUGGGUGUUGACGGUCUGCGCCUUCCCCCACCUCACCCGGGCCUCGGUGGGGCCGGGAGAGGGCCUGGGGCUCCGGGGAAGGGGGCUGGAGGUUCUCGAGGCGCGCGGCUCCAUCCCUCCGCCCCGAUGGGGGCGGGGAGGGGUGCUGCAGACGGCGCUGGAAAUGCAGCUCUCUGGGGAGGGGGCUCCACUCCGCGGCGCAGCAGGCUGGGGGGGAGGUUGCCUAGGAGAGGGGCCGGGGCCGGCAGCGGAGGGGAGGGAUCGCAGGGGAGGGGGCGCGGGUGCGGCCGCGGCGCUCGCCCCUCCUCGCGCGCCAUGACUGUGGAACGUGGUGCCGGGGAGGAGGGACGGCCGCCGGGGGCCGCCCGGGGCUGCUCGGCAUUGGUGCGGAAACCCGAGCCCCGAGUCGCUCCCUCGCGCUGUCUCCUCCUCCUCCUCUGCGGGGGAAACCGCUGCACCCAAACCGAGAGCAGCUGCGAGCAGGGGGCAGGGCGCGAGCUGAAAGGCGAGCCAAGGGUUCAAACCUCGUCGGCCCAGGGCAGGGGGCGAGAGCGAGACCGGGUCCCGCGAAGGACUGCAGCGGUUAAGUCCAGGUGCCGGGAUCCUAGACGGUGACCCAGCAUUUCUUUUCUGGUCCUAGGAAACAUAAGCCAAAGAUAGUUCAGCCAAACAGAGUACCUCGCGCCGGGUUCGAGGUAUCGAUCUCGCCUAGGGUCCUCAAGACAGCGAGUAUUUUUGCACGAGGGAAAGUUACACCAUUCUUUUUUCAGUGUGGGGGAAUCGUUGCGCCCUUCCCCCAAAUCUCGCUCAGGAUAAGUCAGCUUCUCCCGCUCUCCAUGCCUUCGACACUGUGUCCCCCCCCGCCCCACCCCCACUCGGGCUCUGGGUGUGGACAGGGCGGGGGAAGGCUAUAUGGGAGCUUAAAGCAUGAGGUCAUGGGCGGAGGAGGCUGAGGCCAAAAGCAGCCGAGGUUUUUGUGUUUUUUGAGGGGUAACGGUUCUCCAUCUUCAGCAGUGGGAAGUCUUCCUGCCUAAUACUACCAAUUCUAAGGCAUCUGGUCUAGAGAGUCCCCGAAAGAAGAGGGGGCUCUGCUCUGUGUCGUUUAAUCAGCAUCUGGUCGGUACCCAGCCCUUUAUGGAGACAUUACACAUAAGCAAAGAAAGCUGAGGGACAGCGCACAGUGUCGCCGGGACUGGGAAAGCUUCAGAUGCCCGAACCCCUCUUUCCCCAGUCUUUGGUCAUAUUCCAGCUGGACUGCUUGCUGCGACAGCUUCCUGGUCCCUCCGACAAUUCUUUCCAAGCGACUAGAGUCUUUCUAACACUCUUGAUUACACUCCUUUAAACCCAGCAAGCCCCUCCCCACUGCUCUUAGAAUAAAGCACGUCCCGAAGCCCCUGCGUGUUUCGCCUCUGCAGACCUCUCCACAGCUCUUCCUCGUUCACAGUAUGCCCCGUCAUGCUUUCUUUGUUCGAAGGGUGGGGUAUCCUUACCCCCGCCCCUGCCACCUCUUGCUAACUCCUGCUAGAUCUUCACGGUAUGGCUCAACAAUCAUGACCUCCAAGAAGCCUUCCUGAGAGUAUGCACGCUCACCUCUAACUCCCUUAGGGUGAAAAAGACCUACCCUAGACUUCCAGGCAGCCGGGCUGUCGCCAGAGCUGUCUCCAGUGGCGGCCCUUUUCCAAGCAGAGGAGCAACAGCCAAGCUUGAGCACCACCACCCAGAGGCCUUACCUCCUGAGAGGGAGUUGGCUGGGACAGAAAGAGCCUCGAGACGCCCUGUUUCCUCAAGACACCUGGGAAAAGCACGCACCGCCCAGAAACCUCAGCCCCUCCACCUCUUACCCCAGCACACACCCACACAAGCUAAUUCGAGGAGAGGUCUUUUAAUCUAAAGCUCCUCCCUGGGGCAGAUAAGGAACCUGAGACUCAAGAGAGUAAGUAAAUUGCCCAGGGUGAAUGCAGAAAUUUACAUCCUGGUCUUUAGAGUCCCU